CCUACGUGUGGCUGCAGUGGGGAAUAUUUCACAAUGGGGGAAACCCUGAUGGAGCGACGCCGCGUGAGUGAUGAAGUAUUUCGGUAUUUAAAGCUCUAUCAGCAGGGAAGAAAAUGAUGUUACCUGAUUUAGAAGCCCCGUCUAACUACGUGCCAGCAGCCGCGGUCAUACGUAGGUGGCAACCGUUAGACUGAUUUACUGGGUGGAAAGGGUGGGUAGAUGUCCGCAAAAUGCUUGAGUGAAAGGCCGGGUCACAACCCCGAGACUGAUCUGGAAACUAUUGAACUUGAGUGCAGGAGAGGGAAGCGGAAUGCCUAGUGUAGCGGUGAAAUGCGUAGAUAUAAGGAGGAACACCAGUGGCGAAGGCGGCUUACUGGACUGUAACUGACGUUGAGGCUCGAAAGCGUGGGGAGCAAACAGGAUUAGAUACCCGUGUAGUC
RNAcentral lists this ribosomal RNA (440 nucleotides) under uncultured bacterium. Its description in RNAcentral is "partial 16S ribosomal RNA". It matches the Rfam family "Bacterial small subunit ribosomal RNA", at positions 338 to 795 of the family's 1533-position model. The record is from RNAcentral.